This 1204-nucleotide long non-coding RNA is filed under the name Eutrema salsugineum. Its description in RNAcentral is "long non-coding RNA (ESAL_LNC001904)". Lineage: Eukaryota; Viridiplantae; Streptophyta; Magnoliopsida; Brassicales; Brassicaceae. The record is from RNAcentral.
UGGCGGUAGAAUCUCGACCAAAAGAAAGUUACUGCCAAAAAGAGACCAAUUUCUUGACCAAAAGUAUAAUCCAUUUUCAACUAUUUGUUUAUAUAAUCCACAGAUAAAGCGUCACAAAUAAACACCCAUGCAAUGAUUAUCUUUCAAUCUUAGCCGCUGCUCACUUCGAAAAUUCAUUGAACAUCCACAUAUGACAAAAACCAUCGAUUUUUGCAAUGCAAAGUGAGUAAGUCUUGUUUUGUGGCAUCUCUGAUGAUUCUUUAAUCUACCUUUCAUUAUGCUUUAUUGAGAGCCCGUGAGAGGCAGUUCAUUGAAAUAAUAUAAUAAAUAAAGAGUAGUGGAUCUCCCUGUUUAAAGCCUAUCUUUUUUCUUUGAAGUAACCAUAUAAGUAGAGCCAUUGAAAAACCAACUGAGAAUGAGAAUGAAGUAGUACAAACACAAGCCUCUAUUCAACGCAGAUAAGUUUCUGGAGUUUGAAGCCCCCUUGAGCAUUGGAAUAUAAAUAUUCCCAUCUAAUGGUAACUAAAUCUUUGGCAAUGUCUACCUUGAUGGUGAUCUUUUUGUACCUCCCAGUUUAUGAUUACAUUGUACAAUCUUACAAGCAAGGAGAGUAUUCUUUAUUAAUAGCUUACUUCUUACAAAUGUUGUUUGGUUAGGCAAUAUGACUUGUGGCAGAAUGACCUUUAACCUCUUCGUCAUAAUUUUUGAAUUGAUCUUAUAAAAUAGUGUUACAGCAGGAGAUUGAUAUGUUGUAAGAAUAGUAUAGCUCUUGGAUUUUUAGGUGCCAGUGUGAAGAUAGUUUCAUUUGUUAAUCUAAUGUGACAAAGAAUUUUUCAAUUCCUGCCACUAACUCAUAUCCUUCUUUUCCAUGCUGAUUUGAAGAAAGCAACACUGAAGCCAUCAAGGCCCGGAAACUUAUUUGGAUUAAACUUCAUAAUGACUUUUGUAACUAUUGCAAAUAGUAGUUUGAUUGUGGAUAUUACAUUUGAAUGGUCUCGAAACCAAUGGAGAGUAGUAGAAAUGUGGGACAGAAAAGGAGCAAGGUUAUGUUGAAAGUGGGAGGUAGACUAACCAUUAAUGGACUUGGAGGAGCUUCUAGCUGUUGCAACUAUGUGAAACUAGUUGGUACGUACGUAAUUUGAUCAUCUUUACUUAGCAAAUGUAUUCUAUACAAUUGACUAAAUUUUUAAAAAAAUUCAAUUUA